RNAcentral lists this ribosomal RNA (575 nucleotides) under uncultured fungus. Its description in RNAcentral is "eukaryotic LSU rRNA". The stretch from base 205 to 358 matches the Rfam family "5.8S ribosomal RNA". Lineage: Eukaryota; Fungi. The record is from RNAcentral.
CUUGGUCAUUUAGAGGAAGUAAAAGUCGUAACAAGGUCUCCGUUGGUGAACCAGCGGAGGGAUCAUUACAGAGUUAUCUAACUCCCAAACCCAUGUGAACUUACCUUUGUUGCCUCGGCAGAAGCUACCCUGUAGCGACUGCCGGUGGACUACUAAACUCUUGUUAUUUUUAAGUAAUCUGAGCGUCUUAUUUUAAUAAGUCAAAACUUUCAACAACGGAUCUCUUGGUUCUGGCAUCGAUGAAGAACGCAGCGAAAUGCGAUAAGUAAUGUGAAUUGCAGAAUUCAGUGAAUCAUCGAAUCUUUGAACGCACAUUGCGCCCAUUAGUAUUCUAGUGGGCAUGCCUGUUCGAGCGUCAUUUCAACCCUUAAGCCUAGCUUAGUAUUGGGAAUUGGCUUGUCAUGAGCCAUUCUUCAAAUUCAACGGCGGAUUUAUAGCAAUCUCUGAACGUAGUAAUCUUAUUCUCGUUUUUGCGAUACUAUAAACCUCAGCCGCUAAACCCCCAAUUUUUUUUUGGUUGACCUCGGAUCAGGUAGGAAUACCCGCUGAACUUAAGCAUAUCAAUAAGCGGAGGA